RNAcentral lists this long non-coding RNA (657 nucleotides) under Nicotiana benthamiana. Its description in RNAcentral is "long non-coding RNA (NBEN_LNC036981)". The record is from RNAcentral. Lineage: Eukaryota; Viridiplantae; Streptophyta; Magnoliopsida; Solanales; Solanaceae.
CCGUGUAAUUAUUAUUUUUGAUAUAUAUAUACAGGUUAGAGUCACGCCUUAACUACUCCAUCAUAAUGAUAGAAUUAUACAAAAAAUAAAAAAACACCGCACAACCAUGAGUCCAUGACCCUUACAAUUAAAAGAGCCAAGAAUAGUAAGUCAUUGAAUUCUUGACACGAAUCGAGGGACUCACAAAUAGAAAUUGAUGAGAAGAGUAAUGCAGAGUCCGCAUCAUCUCUCUACACUGCAUGAAUACAAGUUUAUUUAUACAAUUAAAGAGCAAGAAUAGUAAUAGUUCAUUCAUUUAAUUCUGGAUCCGAAUAAUCGAUUAUACAACCUAUAAGUGCUUCCCAAAACAAAACUGGGGCUCAUAAAUAGAAAUUGCUCAGAGAAGAGUAAUGCAGAGUCUGCAUUAUAUCUGUACAUUACAUGAAUAUAAGUGAACAGAAGCCAGUAGCUGUAGUGUCCAAUCACGAUGCGCAGCGUGGAGAACAUAUCAAAGAAACUGUGCACAGAAGAGGCAAUAGAGAUCUUAUCUAUCCUUUUUUAUAAAUGCAGGUCAAAACUGAAACAGCUACUAAAUGGAACAGAUCCAGUGGAAGGAGGGCGCUAGUAGCUCAAAGCACAUGGCUAUGAACCACGCAUCAAGGGUCCUAUCCAACAGUC